Molecule: long non-coding RNA, 877 nt
Organism: Salvelinus fontinalis (brook trout)
Lineage: Eukaryota; Metazoa; Chordata; Actinopteri; Salmoniformes; Salmonidae
Exons: 3
Source: RefSeq, a predicted model, not a curated record
AUUUCUUCCAGUGAGAGAAGUUAACGAGUUGGCAUUUCCAUGAGACAUCGAGAUGGUGGGGGGAAAUCCUUUGAAUCAACAUGCUAUGAAGCCAUCAGCCCAGAACAUCCUGAAGACAGAACAUCUAAACGAUCAUCUGGGAAUCCUUUCUUCCUCAUGGUGCUUUUUGAAAGCUAUGAAAAAGACAAAUGACAUGACAUUGACUCCUGAGUGUUGAACUUUUGCCCACUCUAUAGCCACCCUGGUUAUAUUCUGACCCUGCUGGUCAUCUACGAACAUUGGAACAUCUUGAAUAACAAUAAGGGGCACAUGUACUCUUAAAUGUGCACUUAGCACAGCCCUCGGAGCAUGGCUAUUUGAUUGGUCUUGUGCUUUUAGACUGGUAUCUGUAAAACACUUUGUGACAACUGCUGAUGCAAAAAUGGGUUUUAAGAAAUACAUUUGGUUGAACGACAUUGUGAAAGAUUGUUUUGUUGUUGUUGUGAUAACACCAUUUUAUUCACGUCUCAAUUUAGGAUAAUACUGUUUAUUUUUAUUUGACUCAAAUUGUAUUAUUUAUGUUGUUUCAUGCCAUGCUAAUAAACUACCAGGCAAUGCAAGCAGAUGUGUAAUUAACCCCAAAACAGUUGUGUGUCUUUUUGGAUCAAGAAUUGAUCCAGAAUACCAAUAGGCAUGAUCAGAUCCUCUUUCCUAUUCAGGCAUCAUAUAACGCACAGACACAUGCAAAUCCAUAAACUCCAACAAUAAAACAUUGAAAACCUUAACAUCACUACUGACAAGUCAUUAUUAUAGUCACCAUCCACCAAUGGUCGAAUUGCAUUAUUUUUCAAUGUACAUGAAGCAAGCUUCCAUUGGCUGGAGCCAAUCAACGUGGUAA